RNAcentral lists this ribosomal RNA (253 nucleotides) under uncultured bacterium. Its description in RNAcentral is "partial 16S ribosomal RNA". It matches the Rfam family "Bacterial small subunit ribosomal RNA", at positions 524 to 776 of the family's 1533-position model. The record is from RNAcentral.
UACAGAGGGUGCGAGCGUUAAUCGAAAUUACUGGGCGUAAAGCGCACGUAGGCGGCUUGGUAUGUCGGGUGUGAAAUCCCCGGGCUCAACCUGGGAACUGCAUCCGAAACUGCCUUGCUAGAGUAUGGGAGAGGGAAGUGGAAUUUCCGGUGUAGCGGUGAAAUGCGUAGAUAUCGGAAGGAACAUCAGUGGCGAAGGCGACUUCCUGGACCAAUACUGACGCUCAGGUGCGAAAGCGUGGGGAGCAAACAGG